GCAAGAUGCUGUGAUGUGUCCUAAAACAACUGCCUCUGCUCCGCAGCAGAGCUCUCGGGAGGUGGGAGGGAUCUGCAGCUGCUCCCUUGGAGAGAGCCAUUCUGGAAAUCAAUCUGCAUGAGACUUGUCCAGGUGCAGUCCCAGGGCAGUGUGAGCCCCAGGGAGGGGCCCUGGGCUGGAAGCAGCUGGGUGCUGCCUACGUCAGCAUCUUCCGGAAUGCCGUCCUGAUGGCAUCCAUUAAUAAGAGACAGGCUGCCGUUGGAGGGAGGCAUUGCUGGCAGCUCUGAGGAGUUGGAAAGCAGCCUUUAGACAACGCAGGAGCUGGACUCCAGGGAGGUGACGGAGGCUCUGUACUCCGUGGAUCAUUGCAUCGGGGAACCUCAUCACGCCGGCAGAGAGCAGAGGUCAGCAAGGGUUGCUUAGGAAGACCAAGGACUAGGAAGUGUUUGGAACCGUUCCCAGACGCUGACCCACCCCCGAGCACGGAUGCCAGCACAUAUCUGGACCAUCGUGUAAGUCAGGAGGAAGACACAACUCAGUCAACAAAUAUUUGGUGUACCUCCUCGGAAGUGAGCUGUUGCACAAGCCGUGGUUUGGCAGGGAUUCUCCUGUUCGGCUGCGAGCCGCUCAGGGCAGGAUGCCUUUCAGGAGGAGGAGGGGCAGGUGGAAUCGUCUUCCUACUCCUGUGUGAUCCUCUGUGGGAUGUCCCCUGCUCUGGGCUGCCAGCCGCUAGGCCAGUACUGAGCAGUGAGGAAAUCCUGCCACCACAGUAGCUCAUUCAGUAGGGUUACGGUCGGUGGGCAGGGCCUGAGCCUCUCUCCAGAAUCCAGGCAGCAUGUCACAACACAUAGUAGCCCCCUGUGACUGCCAUGGCCAGUUUGGAGCAACAUAUCACAAUGUAGUUUUGCCUAUUUGGUACAUUUUUCCCUUUAAAAAAAAAAAAAAAAAAAAGAAUCACAAGAUUUUAGAACUGGAUGCAGUGCCUUGAGACAGCGUCUCCCAGAAUCUGUCUUUGUUUUUUUGUUUGCUUUUGUUUUACGGGACAGGGUUUCACUGUGUAGCCCUGGCUGUCCUGAAAUGCACUCUGCAGACCAGGCUGGCCUUGAACUCACCUGCCUCUGCCUCCCGAGUGCUGGGAUUAAAGGUGUGCACCACCACUGCCUGGCUUAUCUCUGCUUUUCAGUGCAGUCAUGACCAGUUUUCUUUGUGAAUGCUGAGGAUUCAAACCCAAGUCCUCAUGCUUUCUCUUACCCAUGGGACCAUCUUCUUAGUCUCUUAUUGGAUUUUGAGACAAGGUCUCAUGGAUGGCCUGGAACUCACUAUAAUAUCAGAAGAUGACCUUGAACCUCUGAUG
This is a long non-coding RNA of Peromyscus leucopus (white-footed mouse), 1354 nucleotides long. RefSeq lists it as uncharacterized. NCBI's taxonomy places the organism in Eukaryota, Metazoa, Chordata, Mammalia, Rodentia, Cricetidae. The transcript is spliced from 3 exons. The record is from RefSeq and is a predicted model, not a curated record.